AUUUUUUUUUCUGUAUUUUUCGGGAUUUUUUUGGGAUUUUAUUUCGAUUUUUUAAGAUUUAUUUGGAAUUCUUGGGGGAUUUUUUGGAAAUUUUUGGGAGAUUUUUUCUGGGUUUUUUUCGGAUUUUUUUGAGAUUUUUAUUCGGUGUUUUUGGGAUUUUUUCCGUAUUUUUGGGGGAAUUUUUUGAGAUUUUAUUUCGAUUUUUUUAGAUUUUUUUGGGGGGGUUUAUUUCGAUUUUUGGGGAUUUUUAAAGGGUUUUAUUUCGAGUUUUGGAGGGAUUUUUAAAUGUGUUUUUUUGAGAUUUUUAUUCUGUGUUUUUGGGAUUUUUUUUCUGUAUUUUUCGGGAUUUUUUUCGGGAUUUUUUGAGAUUUUAUUUCGAUUUUUGGGGGAUUUUUAAAGGGUUUUAUUUCGAUUUUUGGGGGAUUUUUAAAGGGUAUUUUUUGAGGUUUUUAUUCUGUGUUUUUGGGAUUUUUUUUCGGGAUUUUUUUGAGAUUUUAUUUCGAUUUUUUUAGAUUUAUUUGGGAUUUUUUGGAGAUUUUUUUGGGGAUUUUUUGGAAAUUUUGGGGGAUUUUUUUCAUAGGUUUUCUCGGAUUUUUUUUUUGAGAUUUUUUUAAUGUAUUUUUCCUUUUUUUCGUA
This 636-nucleotide long non-coding RNA is filed under the name Lonchura striata (white-rumped munia). RNAcentral describes it as "domestica (Bengalese finch) lncRNA (ENSLSDG00000003792.1)". Lineage: Eukaryota; Metazoa; Chordata; Aves; Passeriformes; Estrildidae. The record is from RNAcentral.